GCAGAAGAGGAAAAGUGGAAAUUCCCAAGUGUAAGCGGUGAAAAUGCGUAGAGAUUGGGAGGAACACCCAGUGGUGAAAGGCGACUUUCUGGUCUGUAAUGACGUUGAGGCGCGAAAGCGUGGGGAGCAAACAGGGAUUAGAUACCCUGGUAGUCCACGCCGUAAACGAUGAGUGCUAAAGUGUUAGGGGGUUUCCGCCCUUUAAGUGCUGCAGCUAACGCAUUAAGCACUCCGCCUGGGGAGUACGGUCGCAAGACUGAAACUCAAAAGGAAUUGACGGGGGCCCGCACAAGCGGUGGAGCAUGUGGUUUAAUUCGAAGCAACGCGAAGAACCUUACCAGGUCUUGACAUCCCGUUGACCACUGUAGAGAUAUAGUUUCCCCUUCGGGGGCAACGGUGACAGGUGGUGCAUGGUUGUCGUCAGCUCGUGUCGUGAGAUGUUGGGUUAAGUCCCGCAACGAGCGCAACCCUUGAUCUUAGUUGCCAUCAUUUAGUUGGGCACUCUAAGGUGACUGCCGGUGACAAACCGGAGGAAGGUGGGGAUGACGUCAAAUCAUCAUGCCCCUUAUGACCUGGGCUACACACGUGCUACAAUGGACGAUACAAACGGUUGCCAACUCGCGAGAGGGAGCUAAUCCGAUAAAGUCGUUCUCAGUUCGGAUUGUAGGCUGCAACUCGCCUACAUGAAGCCGGAAUCGCUAGUAAUCGCGGAUCAGCAU
RNAcentral lists this ribosomal RNA (719 nucleotides) under Lysinibacillus sp. RNAcentral's name for it is "bacterial SSU rRNA". It matches the Rfam family "Bacterial small subunit ribosomal RNA", at positions 648 to 1355 of the family's 1533-position model. The record is from RNAcentral. Lineage: Bacteria; Bacillati; Bacillota; Bacilli; Caryophanales; Bacillaceae.